RNAcentral lists this ribosomal RNA (336 nucleotides) under uncultured bacterium. RNAcentral describes it as "partial 16S ribosomal RNA". It matches the Rfam family "Bacterial small subunit ribosomal RNA", at positions 338 to 691 of the family's 1533-position model. The record is from RNAcentral.
CCUACGGGAGGCAGCAGUAGGGAAUAUUGCUCAAUGGGGGAAACCCUGAAGCAGCAACGCCGCGUGGAGGAUGAAGGUGUUCGGAUUGUAAACUCCUUGGGUUAGAGAAGAGAAUGACGGUAGCUAACGAAUAAGAACCGGCUAACUCCGUGCCAGCAGCCGCGGUAAUACGGAGGGUGCAAGCGUUCCUCGGAAUCACUGGGCGUAAAGAGCGCGUAGGCGGGAUAGCAAGUCAGAUGUGAAAUCCUAUGGCUUAACCAUAGAACUGCAUUUGAAACUGUUAUUCUAGAGUAUUGGAGAGGUAGGUGGAAUUCUUUGUGUCGUGGUCAACUCCGU